AGUAACCCCAGAGUGCAGUCUGGACGAUGGGGCGGGGCGACACUUCGAGGCGGAGCGACACGUGUCGCCCCGCCCAUAUUUGUUUUCCCCGCCUUUGACAUUUUCCUCCGAGCCAGCAGGGGGCAGUUUGCGUUGAAACAAACAGAACGGUGGCAACUACAGCAGCAGAGUAAUAACGCUAUUCCGUUGAUUGCUUGAGUACACUCUGUACAUGGCUUUAGUUCAUAGGUUCGAUUUUACAGAGGUAUGGCAUCACAUUUGUCAAGUUAUUUGAACAGACAUGCAUGAUUUUUGUGUGUAUAUUAUUAUUAUUAUUAUUUUUCAGGAUGACAUGAUCAGGAGGUGGUGGUGUUCUGUUCUCCUGGACAGCUUUACUCCGCAAAUAGCUCAACCACUGAGGGGAGGAACUUCACCAUUCACCAUGUCUUCAGGCAGAGUCCAGCAAAGCAGCUUCCACUGGAAAUCCUCAGGGAAGUUAUUUUGUCGGCGGGUGACUCUGCAUAUUUGACACUUUCUCUGGUUUGCAGAUGGUUUAGGGAUGUGCUCCGAAGUUUUUCGGAAAGCGGCAAAGUUUGCUUGGCUAGACCGUAAGAUUUCC
This is a long non-coding RNA of Carassius gibelio (silver crucian carp), 598 nucleotides long. RefSeq lists it as uncharacterized. The record is from RefSeq and is a predicted model, not a curated record. The transcript is spliced from 4 exons. NCBI's taxonomy places the organism in Eukaryota, Metazoa, Chordata, Actinopteri, Cypriniformes, Cyprinidae.